RNAcentral lists this transfer RNA (65 nucleotides) under Graptomyza semicircularia. RNAcentral's name for it is "tRNA-Thr". It matches the Rfam family "tRNA". Rfam says of the family: Transfer RNA (tRNA) molecules are approximately 80 nucleotides in length. Their secondary structure includes four short double-helical elements and three loops (D, anti-codon, and T loops). The record is from RNAcentral. Lineage: Eukaryota; Metazoa; Arthropoda; Insecta; Diptera; Syrphidae.
GUUUAAAUAGUUUAAUAAAAACAUUGGUCUUGUAAACCAAAAAUAAGAGCAAUUCUUUUUAAAUA